AUUAGAUACCCUGGGUAGUCCACGCAGUAAACGAUGAAUGCUAACUGUCCGUGGCGAUUAAGUCCUGGGUGGUACAGCGAAAGCGUUAAGCAUUCCACCUGGGGAGUACGCCGGCAACGGUGAAACUCAAAGGAAUUGACGGGGGCCCGCACAAGCGGAGGAACACGUGGUUUAAUUCGAUGAUACGCGAGGAACCUUACCCGGGCUUAAAUUGCAGCGGAAUGAUGUGGAAACAUGUCAGUGAGCAAUCACCGCUGUGAAGGUGCUGCAUGGUUGUCGUCAGCUCGUGCCGUGAGGUGUCGGCUUAAGUGCCAUAACGAGCGCAACUCCCAUCGCCAGUUGCCAACAGGUAAAGCUGGGAACUCUGGCGAGACUGCCGGCGCAAGCUGCGAGGAAGGCGGGGAUGACGUCAAAUCAGCACGGCCCUUACGUCCGGGGCGACACACGUGUUACAAUGGCAGGUACAGCGGGAAGCCACCGGGCGACCGGGAGCAGAACCCGAAAACCUGUCUCAGUUCGGAUUGGAGUCUGCAACUCGACUCCAUGAAGCUGGAUUCGCUAGUAAUCGCGCAUCAGCCACGGCGCGGUGAAUACGUUCCCGGGCCUUGUACACACCGCCCGUCAAGCCAUGGGAGUCGGGAGUGCCUGAAGUACGUGACCGCAAGGAGCGUCCUAAGGCAAAACUGAUGACUGGGGCUAAGUCGUAACAAGGUACC
Molecule: ribosomal RNA, 716 nt
Filed under: uncultured bacterium
Lineage: Bacteria
Description: bacterial SSU rRNA
Rfam family: Bacterial small subunit ribosomal RNA
Source: RNAcentral